GGCUAACGCUGGCGGCGUGUCUUAGCCAUGCAAGUCGAGCGGACUUAUGGGGUAACUUAUAAGUCAGCGGCGGACGGCGGAGUAACACGUAGCUAACCUACCCUCUGGACGGGGAUAACCUACCGAAAGGUGGGCUAAUACCCGAUGUAGUCAUCCUGUAUAGGGGUGAUGAAAGGUGGGCUUCUGUUUACAAGCUCAUGCUGGAGGAGGGGGCUGCGGCCUAUCAGGUAGUUGGUAGGGUAAUAGCCUACCAAGCCGAUGACGGGUAGCCGGCCUGAGAGGGUGACCGGCCCGAGGGGCACUGAGAUACGGGUCCCACUCCUACGGGAGGCAGCAGGCUAGAAAUUUGGGCAAUGGGGGAAACCCUGACGCAGCGACGCCGCGUGCGGGAUGAAGGCCUUCGGGUCGUAAACCGCUGUUGUGGGAGACGAAUGACUGUCGAUGAGGCAGUGGAGACGGUAUCUCACGAGGAAGCCCCGGCUAACUACGUGCCAGCAGCCGCGGUAAUG
This 509-nucleotide ribosomal RNA is filed under the name uncultured bacterium. Its description in RNAcentral is "bacterial SSU rRNA". It matches the Rfam family "Bacterial small subunit ribosomal RNA", at positions 28 to 525 of the family's 1533-position model. The record is from RNAcentral.